GCGCACCAGUCGCGAAUCUUCCGCAAUGGGCGAAAGCCUGACGGAGCGACGUCGCGUGGUUGAUGAAGUCUUUCGGGAUGUAAAGACCUUUUAUGAGGGAGAAGUUAUUGAUAGUACCUCAUGAAUAAGGGGUUGGCUAAACUCGUGCCAGCAGCAGCGGUAAUACGAGUGCCCCAAGCAUUAUCCGGAAUUAUUGGGCGUAAAGGGUUUGUAGGUGGUUCUAUUAGUCUUGUGUUAAAGCUCCCGGCUCAACCGGGAAAGUGCAUGAGAAACGGUAGAACUAGAGGAUGCGAGAGGUGUGUAGAACUCAUAGUGUAGGGGGUCGAAAAUCCGUUGAUAUUAUGGGGAAUACCAAAAGCGUAAGGCAGCACACUGGCGCACUCCUGACACUGAGAAACGAAAGACGUGGGUAGCGAAUGGGAUUUAGAUACCCCUGUAGU
RNAcentral lists this ribosomal RNA (440 nucleotides) under uncultured organism. RNAcentral describes it as "bacterial SSU rRNA". It matches the Rfam family "Bacterial small subunit ribosomal RNA", at positions 346 to 794 of the family's 1533-position model. The record is from RNAcentral.